CCUACGGGUGGCAGCAGUGGGGAAUAUUGCUCAAUGGGCGAAAUCCUGACGCAGCGACGCCGCGUGCGGGAUGACGGUCUUCGGAGCGUUAACCUCUUUCUGCAGCGAAGUACGGUCACUGUCCUAAUCAGCAUUGAAUUUACGGUACCUGCAAAGGACGCACCGGCUAGCUCCGUGCCAGCAGCCGCUGUAAUACGGAGGGUGCGAGCGUUAAUCGGAAGUACUGGGCGUAAAGCUCUCGUAGGCGGUAUGUCAAGUCAAAGGUGAAAUACCCGCGCUCAACGUGGGAACUGCCUCUGAAACUGGCAGACUGGAGAGUGUGUGCGGAUAGUGGAAUUCGAGGUGUAGCAGUGAAAUGCGUAGAUAUCAGGAGGAACAUCAGUGGCGAAGGCGACUAUCUGACACAUAACUGACGCUGAGGAGCGAAAGCGUGGGUAGCAAACAGGAUUAGAUACCCCUGUAGUC
Molecule: ribosomal RNA, 465 nt
Filed under: uncultured bacterium
Lineage: Bacteria
Description: partial 16S ribosomal RNA
Rfam family: Bacterial small subunit ribosomal RNA
Source: RNAcentral